RNAcentral lists this ribosomal RNA (206 nucleotides) under uncultured bacterium. Its description in RNAcentral is "partial 16S ribosomal RNA". It matches the Rfam family "Bacterial small subunit ribosomal RNA", at positions 568 to 774 of the family's 1533-position model. The record is from RNAcentral.
UGCGUAGGUGGUUGAUUAAGUCUUUGGUGUAAGUGCAGUGCUUAACGCUGUGAUGCUAAAGAAACUGGUUAACUUGAGUGUGGUAGAGGCAAGUGGAAUUCCAUGUGUAGCGGUAAAAUGCGUAAAUAUAUGGAGGAACACCAGUGGCGAAGGCGGCUUGCUGGGCCACAACUGACACUGAGGCACGAAAGCGUGGGGAGCAAACA